AGUGCCAUGUUCCUUCACCGAAGUUAAUGCGUUUUCCCUGAAAGUUUGCUGAGGACAAGAGGUAUUGUGUCAAAUUCCUUCUCUGAAUAAGGAGGCUUCAUUCAUCACACAGAAAGGGAAGGCUGUAUAAACAUAGAUGUAGGAGACAGUCCCACCUUGGUCUCCACAGUACACCUGUUUACCUGGAAGAACUGCUGUGUGCAGAGAAGGCUGUGACAGCUAGAAGAGGCCUCAAAAGAGUAUCUAAUAUGCACUUGUGAGUGUACAUUUGAAGCAGAACCAUCAAGAAGCAGCGGGAGAAAGUGGAAUAUGCGUGCUGAAAACCUGCUACACUACACCAGCUGCUUCAUCCUGAAUACUUAAGUUGACAGGAAAGUCAUCUGAUCCUCAAGCAGGGCCAUCUAGAACAGUUCACCCAGAACCACACAUGGACAGCUUUUGAAGAUCUCCAGAGAGGAAGAACCCAUAAUCUCUCUGAGCACCCCACGCCAGUGUUCUGUCACCCACACAAUAAAGAAGUUUUUCUGAUACUCUAGAAUUUCUGAUGCUAUAGUAUGCAUUUGUCACAUUACUUGCUUGUUCAAACAGAACUUUUUUUCUACUACUAUGCCUCCGUAUCUUUUAUAUAGUCUAUACAGUUUGUACAUCAUGGCAGAUUGUAUCUUAGCGUGUUACUUCCAUUGAUUAGUUUCCAUGGUUGCAAGCAUUAUACAUGGUAGAGCUCAGUAAAUGCAAACCCUUGAAUAGUUCCUUUAAGCUAUAUAUUGCGAGGGGAAGGAGAAGGAAUAAAUCAGUUAGGAUAUCUUCUGUGCCAUCUAUUGUGAUUAAAGUCUUGUUUGCACAAAGUGGUUCAUUAUUUCUUCUGUGAGCCAUGGUUUAGACUUUCUUGUAGAAGGGAGUAUCCAUAAAGAUGGAUCUCCCUCAAAUCUCAGCCAGAACAGGAUCAGUUCAAAUGAUGAAAGCAAGAAUAGUUGUAACACAUGGAAAAACAUCAAAACUCAAAACCAAAAAGUAAUUGAUCCAAAACACCAAGAAUAAUGAUGUUUUCAUUAAAAUGAAAGUAGAACACACAGGUAAAUCCACAGAAUAUAGGAAUAUCUAAUACCAAACAUGCUUGACAUGCUCAACAAGAGACUGCUUUAUUCUUUGAUGGAAAGCUGGGACUGAAUCUGAUAUGUGCAGAAUAAUAGUGGUGGUGAUAAAUGGUUCAAAAGACAUGGAAACCAAAUAUCCUAUAAAUUAAUAUAUAAUUCAAGAAACGAUAUUCACUGAUCAAUUAAAGAGGCUGAUUGCAAAGCGUCUAUAGCAUAUGUGAAAAUGUUUUGAUAAAUACUAUGUACCUCUUUUCAGUUCAUUUGGGCUAGAAGAUUCUCAAAUGGCUUACAACUGAAUAAAGAUGGCAUUAAAAAAG
Long non-coding RNA from Gallus gallus (chicken), 1411 nucleotides. The record is from Ensembl. Lineage: Eukaryota; Metazoa; Chordata; Aves; Galliformes; Phasianidae.